Long non-coding RNA from Heterocephalus glaber (naked mole-rat), 1263 nucleotides. The record is from Ensembl. Lineage: Eukaryota; Metazoa; Chordata; Mammalia; Rodentia; Bathyergidae.
GUCUGUGUAUACUUGCUAUAAAUGAAGAAUUGGAUAUUGAAAUUUAAAAGUUAUGUAGGAGUACAAAGGACCUAGAAAAGUUAAAAACAAAAACAAAAACAAAACCGGUGUUGGACUGUCUCGUCUUUAUCUGAAAAUUAUUUUACUCUUGUUCUUGAAAGAUAAUUAGCUGACACCAUUUUCUCUCAAUAUUUUGACGAUGUUACACCAUUCUCUGUUGGCUUCCAUUUUUGUUCUACUGAAAUCAAUCUAAUUUUUGUCCCCUCUUAGGCAACAGGUAUUUUCUUUGGGGCUGCGUUUAGACAGACUCUCUCUGCCUCCGGUCUUCUGUCCUGGGCAGCAAACACUAGCACGGCUCACCCUAGACUCCGCCCUUCCGGCGCAGGCCUUGGGAAACGCAGCCUGUGGCUCUCCCGCAGGGAGUUCCCCCAGCAGAGCUUGGCAGGUGACCAACAAUUCUAUUGUGCAGGGACUCGGGGUUGCUCUCCAUCCAGGACACAGGACUUUCAGGCCGAGACUGGGACCGUCCGGGGCCGGCGGGGACAGUGGGUCCCCCUGCCGGCUCCCCCGCCCAGUGCCCGUGUUCCUCCGGGCAGGCUGCUUACGCCCAACCCAGCUCCGCCUGACGCACGAUGACCUGCAGGGGACACUGCUGCCCAACUCCGCACACCACCAUCCUUCUUUCAUGGCCACGCAACCACAGGCGGUGUUGCUUGUUAAUGACUUAGGUUUCCUUUUUGAAAAUUUCAUUGUUUUUGAGUUAAAUUUCUUCUGAAAAUUCUCAAACUGUUUCAACUGAACUGUGGAGAGAUUUUUGUUUUGUGUUGCUUUGAGACAGGGUCUUGCUCUGUAGAUAAGGCUGGCUUUUUUUUUUUUUGGUACCGGGGAUUGAACUUGGGAACCUUGCGCUUGCGAGGCAGGCGCCGGAACCACUGAGCUAAAUCCCUGGCCCCUAAGGAAAAGACUUUUUUUUUGGUACCAGGGAUCGAACUCGGGACCUUGCACUUGUGAGGCAGAAAAAAGAUAAAAGUGGUAGGUAGCCAGGCGUGGUGGCCCACUCAUCAUCCCAGCACUCGGGAGGCUGAGGCAGGAGGAUCAUUGUGAGUUCGAGGCCAGCAUGGGCUACAUAGUGAGUUCAGGGCCAGCCUGAAUUACAAAGCAAGAGCCUGCCUCAAAGAAAAAACAAACCAAAAAACUAAAAGUGGUUAAGGCGGCAACUUUAUGUAAUCUGAAUUUUAGCCACAAUUUAAAAAGAAAAUGAGC